GACGAACGCUGGCGGCGUGCCUAAUACAUGCAAGUAGAACGCUGAAGGAGGAGCUUGCUUCUCUGGAUGAGUUGCGAACGGGUGAGUAACGCGUAGGUAACCUGCCUGGUAGCGGGGGAUAACUAUUGGAAACGAUAGCUAAUACCGCAUAAGAGUGGAUGUUGCAUGACAUUUGCUUAAAAGGUGCACUUGCAUCACUACCAGAUGGACCUGCGUUGUAUUAGCUAGUUGGUGGGGUAAGGGCUCACCAAGGCGACGAUACAUAGCCGACCUGAGAGGGUGAUCGGCCACACUGGGACUGAGACACGGCCCAGACUCCUACGGGAGGCAGCAGUAGGGAAUCUUCGGCAAUGGACGGAAGUCUGACCGAGCAACGCCGCGUGAGUGAAGAAGGUUUUCGGAUCGUAAAGCUCUGUUGUAAGAGAAGAACGAGUGUGAGAGUGGAAAGUUCACACUGUGACGGUAUCUUACCAGAAAGGGACGGCUAACUACGUGCCAGCAGCCGCGGUAAUACGUAGGUCCCGAGCGUUGUCCGGAUUUAUUGGGCGUAAAGCGAGCGCAGGCGGUUAGAUAAGUCUGAAGUUAAAGGCUGUGGCUUAACCAUAGUAGGCUUUGGAAACUGUUUAACUUGAGUGCAAGAGGGGAGAGUGGAAUUCCAUGUGUAGCGGUGAAAUGCGUAGAUAUAUGGAGGAACACCGGUGGCGAAAGCGGCUCUCUGGCUUGUAACUGACGCUGAGGCUCGAAAGCGUGGGGAGCAAACAGGAUUAGAUACCCUGGUAGUCCACGCUGUAAACGAUGAGUGCUAGGUGUUAGACCCUUUCCGGGGUUUAGUGCCGUAGCUAACGCAUUAAGCACUCCGCCUGGGGAGUACGACCGCAAGGUUGAAACUCAAAGGAAUUGACGGGGGCCCGCACAAGCGGUGGAGCAUGUGGGUUAAUUCGAAGCAACGCGAAGAACCUUACCAGGUCUUGACAUCCCUCUGACCGCUCUAGAGAUAGAGCUUUCCUUCGGGACAGAGGUGACAGGUGGUGCAUGGUUGUCGUCAGCUCGUGUCGUGAGAUGUUGGGUUAAGUCCCGCAACGAGCGCAACCCCUAUUGUUAGUUGCCAUCAUUUAGUUGGGCACUCUAGCGAGACUGCCGGUAAUAAACCGGAGGAAGGUGGGGAUGACGUCAAAUCAUCAUGCCCCUUAUGACCUGGGCUACACACGUGCUACAAUGGCUGGUACAACGAGUCGCAAGCCGGUGACGGCAAGCUAAUCUCUUAAAGCCAGUCUCAGUUCGGAUUGUAGGCUGCAACUCGCCUACAUGAAGUCGGAAUCGCUAGUAAUCGCGGAUCAGCACGCCGCGGUGAAUACGUUCCCGGGCCU
RNAcentral lists this ribosomal RNA (1367 nucleotides) under uncultured bacterium. RNAcentral describes it as "bacterial SSU rRNA". It matches the Rfam family "Bacterial small subunit ribosomal RNA", at positions 28 to 1381 of the family's 1533-position model. The record is from RNAcentral.